GACGAACGCUGGCGGCGUGCUUAACACAUGCAAGUCGAACGGAAAGGCCCUGCUUUUGUGGGGUGCUCGAGUGGCGAACGGGUGAGUAACACGUGAGUAACCUGUCCUUGACUUUGGGAUAACUUCAGGAAACUGGGGCUAAUACCGGAUAGGAGCUCCUGCUGCAUGGUGGGGGUUGGAAAGUUUCGGCGGUUGGGGAUGGACUCGCGGCUUAUCAGCUUGUUGGUGGGGUAGUGGCUUACCAAGGCUUUGACGGGUAGCCGGCCUGGGAGGGUGACCGGCCACAUUAGGACUGAGAUACGGCCCAGACUCCAACGGGAGGCAGCGGUGGGGAAUAUUACACAAUGGGCGGAAGCCUGAUGCAGCAACGCCGCGUGCGGGAUGACGGCCUUCGGGUUGUAAACCGCUUUCGCCUGUGACGAAGCGUUAGUGACGGUAAUGGGUAAAGAAGCACCGGCUAACUACGUG
Molecule: ribosomal RNA, 468 nt
Filed under: uncultured bacterium
Lineage: Bacteria
Description: partial 16S ribosomal RNA
Rfam family: Bacterial small subunit ribosomal RNA
Source: RNAcentral